Molecule: transfer RNA, 72 nt
Filed under: Camelus bactrianus (Bactrian camel)
Lineage: Eukaryota; Metazoa; Chordata; Mammalia; Artiodactyla; Camelidae
Also listed under: 2 other names
Rfam family: tRNA
About the family: Transfer RNA (tRNA) molecules are approximately 80 nucleotides in length. Their secondary structure includes four short double-helical elements and three loops (D, anti-codon, and T loops).
Source: Rfam by way of RNAcentral
GAGGGUAUAGCUCAGUGGUAGAGCGCAUGCUCAGCAUGCGCAAGGUCCUGGGUUCAGUCCCCAGUACCUCCU